RNAcentral lists this ribosomal RNA (203 nucleotides) under uncultured bacterium. RNAcentral describes it as "partial 16S ribosomal RNA". It matches the Rfam family "Bacterial small subunit ribosomal RNA", at positions 524 to 725 of the family's 1533-position model. The record is from RNAcentral.
UACGGAGGAUGCAAGCGUUAUCCGGAAUGAUUGGGCGUAAAGCGUCCGCAGGUGGCUAUGUAAGUCUGCUGUUAAAGAGUGAGGCUCGAACCUCAUAAGAGCAGUGGAAACUACAUGGCUAGAGUGCGAUUCGGGGCAGAGGGAAUUCUGGUGUAGCGGUGAAAUGCGUAGAUAUCAGGAAGAACACCGGUGGCGAAGGCGGC